This 756-nucleotide non-coding RNA is filed under the name Diaphanosoma excisum. Lineage: Eukaryota; Metazoa; Arthropoda; Branchiopoda; Diplostraca; Sididae. The record is from RNAcentral.
AGAGAGUUUGAAUCUAGCUUUAGUUCUGCUAUAAAUUGAAUAUAUAUACAAAUAGGGAUUUUAAAUAUUUAUUAAAGUAGUAUAUAGUAUUAAUUAUCAAUGAAAUUGGAAUUAGGUAAAUUUUUAGAAUCGGCUAAAAUCGUGCCAGCCGCCGCGGUUAGACGAAGGAUUCGAGUGGAGCAGUAAAAUAAGUUUAGUAAGAUAAGGAGUGAGUAUUGAGUGAGAUAGUGAGUAAAUUUAAGGUAGAAUUUAUUUUAUUUAGUGUAUCUUUUGAUACUCAUAGUGUUUAAUCUGUAAAAUCUAGAUGAGAAACCAGGAUUAGAUACCCUGUUAUUCUAGAUAAAAUGAAUUUAGGGUAGUAAAAGUUGUUCUUCAAACCCAAAGAUUUUGGCGGCAUUUCAUCUGAACAGAGGAGCUUGCCCUGUAAUUGAUAGUCCUCGUUGAAUCUUACUUAAUCUUGUUUUUCAGUUUGUAUAUCGCCGUUGACAGGUUGCUUUAGAAGAAUGCUUCCAUCGUUAAUUGAGCUUAAUAACUUCAGGUCAUGGUACAGCAUAUGGUUAAGUAGAGGUGAGCUACAAUUAAAUUUAUUAAUUACGGAACAAAAGUGUAAAUCUUUUGAGAAGGUGGAUUUGUUAGUAAAAAGAUUUGAGAAAAGUUUUUUGAACUAGCAAUGGAAUGUGUACAUAUCGCCCGUCGCUCUCCUUUUUAAAAGGAGAUAAGUCGUAACAUAGUAGAUGUACCGGAAGGUGUAUCUAG